Cyprinus carpio carpio is the source of this 1654-nucleotide long non-coding RNA. The record is from Ensembl. Lineage: Eukaryota; Metazoa; Chordata; Actinopteri; Cypriniformes; Cyprinidae.
CGGGAAUUGAUGGACUUCCAGCAGAUUUUUAUAAACAGUUUUGGGACUUAUUAAAAGAUGAUUUGCUUGAGGUUUUUAAAUCACCUUACAGGAAAAAAGAACUGCCAUCAAGUCACUUUUAUUUGUUUAGGUCCCUUAAAGCUUUCGGUUUUGGUGAUCCUUUUAUUUCAUGGAUCAAACUUUUAUAUUCUGGUGUUUCUACAAUGCUAAAGGUUGGAGGAGGGUUAAGUAAACCAGUGUCAGUAUGUAGAGGUAUUAGAAAAGGUUGUCCUUUGUCAGGAAUGCUAUAUUCUUUAGCCAUCGAACCUUUGCUUCGUCAAUUGAGAAAUAAUUUGGAUGGCAUUCUAACUGCUUUCUGCCUAUGCUGAUGAAGUUACUGUGUUUAUUAAAAGUGAAAGAGAUGUGUUAGUUUUAGAAGAAGUUUUAAAGAAGUAUGAAAAUGCCUCUUUAGCAAAGGUAAACUGGGAAAAAAGUGAAGGUUUUAUUUUAGGAAAUUGGUGUAGAGAAGAACAACCAGUUUUACCAGGAGGUGUGAAAUGGGGUAAAGAAGGCCAAAAAAUUCUGGGUAUUUAUUUGGGAACAGAUAAAUAUAUUCAAAAGAAUUGGGAAGGAAUGCAUGAUAAGAUGUGUGACCGUUUGUCACAGUGGACAUGGAUCCUUCCUCAGUUAUCAUUUAGGGGGAGAGUCCUGGUUGCUAACAAUUUAGCUGCUUCAGCACUUUGGCAUAAACUAAAUGUCUUAAAUCCACCUGAUGAAGUAGAUCAUUUACUACAAAAGAAAAUAAAUUACUUUUUUUUGGUCGGGUCAGACCUGGGUAAAAGCUGCUAUUCUAUAUUUACCAGUCAGUGAGAGUGGACAAGGCUUAAUAGACAUAAAAAGUAGAAUAAAGGUUUUCAGGCUGCAGGCAGCACAGAAGUUGCUUUACUCUGGAAAAAUCUGUUGGGCUGAUACAGCUUGUUCCUUGUUAAGCAGUAUGAAUUGUUUUAAAUAUGAUUUUAAUUUGUUUUUAAUUAGCCUGAAAGAUAUGGAAUGGAAGGAUUUUUCUCUGUUUUAUAAAUCAAUAUUGAAAGUGUGGAAUUCUGUUUUUCAAGUAAAGAGGAAUUUAAAUUGUGAGGAUUGGUUAAAGAAUGAACCACUCUUUAACAACCCCAUAAUACAAGUAAAUGUGUUGAAAAUGAGAAGUUUGCAAUCUUCUAUGGUGAGAGCAGGAUGCACAUGUUUGUCUAAUCUAAUGGAUGGUAACAAGUGGAAAAGUCCCCAAGAACUGUGUAGUUUGACAGGCAUUAAGUCUGUUCGAUUUAUGGAUAAAAUAAUGAAGGAAAUUUUUUCAGUUCUUCCGUCUGUUUACAGACAAAGUAUAAAAGGAAUAAGCUGUGAUAAAAAAAAAAGAGGAAUCAAAAUGGUAGGAUAUGUUUGGGCAAGAUGCAUCUCCUAGGAGAUGUUGGAGAUCUCUAUAUAAGUCACCCAUUGAAAAACGCACUGCGGAUCUUCAAUGGAGGAUUAUACAUUGGGCAAUUGCAACAAAUAAAUAUUUGGCACAUGUUGACCACAAUGUGGGGAAAGAAUGUUAUUUUUGAACUCAUGAAGAAUCUCUAAAGCAUCUGUUUUUAGAUUGUACUAGGCUAAAUGGGGUGUUUCAGGUUUUAAAGAGGUG